Molecule: long non-coding RNA, 202 nt
Filed under: Mytilus galloprovincialis (Mediterranean mussel)
Lineage: Eukaryota; Metazoa; Mollusca; Bivalvia; Mytilida; Mytilidae
Source: RNAcentral
CCAAUUUAAGAGCUGAAAUUUCCCUUAAAUAAAAUUGUUAACCAAAAAAGAUGACUGAGCAUGAUUACUAACAUCCAAUUUGACUUGUUUUCAUUGGAAUAGGUACAACUUCUAAAAUUUGGAUUUCUGAUGAUUCUCUGUAAUAGGAAGUACACCACUAAUUCAUGGUCCCAUUACUUUCUAUGUUAAAUUCCUCCAUUUA